UGCCAAGGUGGCUCAACAGGUAGAGCGACGUCCUCAUAAGACGUGGGUAGCGGGUUCGAAUCCCGCCCUUGCAG
Molecule: transfer RNA, 74 nt
Filed under: Pseudomonadota bacterium
Lineage: Bacteria; Pseudomonadati; Pseudomonadota
Description: tRNA-Met
Rfam family: tRNA
About the family: Transfer RNA (tRNA) molecules are approximately 80 nucleotides in length. Their secondary structure includes four short double-helical elements and three loops (D, anti-codon, and T loops).
Source: RNAcentral